RNAcentral lists this long non-coding RNA (1181 nucleotides) under Musa acuminata (dwarf banana). RNAcentral's name for it is "long non-coding RNA (MACU_LNC006730)". Lineage: Eukaryota; Viridiplantae; Streptophyta; Magnoliopsida; Zingiberales; Musaceae. The record is from RNAcentral.
UGAGUAUCCAUUAUGUACCUAUCUGUCAUUUUCAAUCGUCUAACAUUCCAAGGAAGAAGAUCAUUGUGCAUGCUUUCUAUUCAGAGGUACAGUGGGAGGUUGUCAGCUAGGAAACUGUAAUAUAUUGAAACAUUGGGAUAUAAGGUGGGGAAUGUCUUGGAGCAAAGAACAAUUGAAAUAGUGUUAAAAGCAGAGAGGAAUGCGGAUUUCCAAUUGAAAAAAAAGAGAGUAGAAAAUAAGCAAGGGCCCACAGCCAACUUGAACUUGCUCCGAUGUUUUUCUUCAGUUGAUUGUUCUGGAAUCACAUCAGUGAUAACAUGAAGGAUACGUCAUGUCCUUUGAGUUGCUCAUCAAUCUGUCACAAUUUUUGAUGGAGUGUCACUUCAGUAAACAACAGCAGCAGUACGUAGUGUCCCUACUUUUGGGGGUAAACUAAAUGGAUUCUUUUCCACCAUUAGGUUCUGCAUAAGGUUAAAUCAAGAGCAUUCAAAUUAUUUUUUCUGAUCUUCAAGAAAUUCUUUAAUAUAUCCCUCUACCGCAUUCCACUACUAUUACAAAUUGUCUCAUCUUGUCUAAUUACAACAUCUAUUGCUCUUCUUAGAAUAUGGUCAUAUCAUCAUAGAUGAUCAUCUCUCAUCUUAUCCUUCCUCUAUUCAAGUUGUACAUAAUUAUUUAUGAAUAAAAAUGCCACACAUCCCCCUUAACAUUGUUGUGUUCUUUACAUAGUUUGUUUUGUACAUAUUUCAUAUUUUCCCAACAUAGAAUCCAUAAAGCAUAAAGCAUGUCUGACCCAAUAACUAUCUGAAACUUACAUCCUUAAUUCUUCUAUUAGUAUUACUGAAAUUACAUCUCAUCUAUCUAAUCUUAAUCUCGCUUAAUCUAAAACUUUUAGUCCCUAAGGUUUGUCUGUAUAUGUUCAGAAUUGGUUUCACUUGAACACUUAUCAAUCAAAACAAUAUCAUAAAUAAAGAACAUAUAUUAUGUGGUGUCUAUCCUAUAUGUAAUGCUAGUAAUUUCUUCCAUUAUAAAAAGGGAUGAGGACUUCAAAUCGAUCCUUAAUAUAUAAGAAACUUGAUGCAUUAAUUUAUAAUUUUGACACUGGUGACUGUUUUAUUAUACAUAUCUUUUAGGAUAUCAAUAAAAUUAGUACCUAUACCUUUUUCAAAAUCCAUCUAUCAUAG